GCUGGGUGUGGUGGUGCACGCCUGUAAUCCCAGCAGCUCAGGAGGCAGAGACAGGAAGAUCUUGAAUUCAAAACCAACCUCAGCAAUUUAGCGAGACCCUGAGCAACUCAGUGAGGCCCUGACUCUA
RNAcentral lists this small RNA (127 nucleotides) under Marmota monax (woodchuck). The record is from RNAcentral. Lineage: Eukaryota; Metazoa; Chordata; Mammalia; Rodentia; Sciuridae.